UUUUAGAGAGAUAGAGAGAUACAGUGAUCAUAUUCACAUACCUUUUAUUACAGUACAUCAUUAUAAUUGUUCUAUUUUAUUAUUAGUUAUUGUUAAUUUCUUACUGUGCCUAAUGUUUGAAUUAAACUUGAUCCUAGG
This is a long non-coding RNA of Mustela erminea (ermine), 138 nucleotides long. RefSeq lists it as uncharacterized. The transcript is spliced from 3 exons. NCBI's taxonomy places the organism in Eukaryota, Metazoa, Chordata, Mammalia, Carnivora, Mustelidae. The record is from RefSeq and is a predicted model, not a curated record.